This 378-nucleotide ribosomal RNA is filed under the name uncultured bacterium. RNAcentral describes it as "bacterial SSU rRNA". It matches the Rfam family "Bacterial small subunit ribosomal RNA", at positions 30 to 402 of the family's 1533-position model. The record is from RNAcentral.
AUUGAACGCUGGCGGCAUGCCUUACACAUGCAAGUCGAACGGCAGCAUGGAAGAGCUUGCUCUUCUGAUGGCGAGUGGCGAACGGGUGAGUAAAGCAUCGGAACGUACCGUGUAGUGGGGGAUAACGUAGCGAAAGUUACGCUAAUACCGCAUACGCACUGAGGUGGAAAGCAGGGGAUCGCAAGACCUUGCGCUAUACGAGCGGCCGAUGUCAGAUUAGCUAGUUGGUAGGGUAAAGGCCUACCAAGGCGACGAUCUGUAGCGGGUCUGAGAGGAUGAUCCGCCACACUGGGACUGAGACACGGCCCAGACUCCUACGGGAGGCAGCAGUGGGGAAUUUUGGACAAUGGGCGAAAGCCUGAUCCAGCCAUGCCGCGU